GGACUUCUAAUUUCUAUAUUAUUCGCUAAUGAUGAUUUUUUUUUUUUUUUUCAACACCAAACUCUCAUUGAUUAGCUUUAAACAAGCCAAUUGUGUGGACAAUUGCUAAUGAUGAUUCUUUAAUCCAUUAUACGUAAUUGUCUUGACACAGAAGCUCAGACUUGGCCGACAGUGAACAAAUGUUACCGAGAACAAAGUACGGUUUAGAUACG
This 212-nucleotide long non-coding RNA is filed under the name Capsella rubella. RNAcentral's name for it is "long non-coding RNA (CRUB_LNC001490)". Lineage: Eukaryota; Viridiplantae; Streptophyta; Magnoliopsida; Brassicales; Brassicaceae. The record is from RNAcentral.